AAAGGCAGCAUGAGAACAGAGUACGCUAGGAGAGGUAAUGGCUUUUAAGAAACCUUUUGGCUUGAGUACCCAUUAAUGUGGAAGGUGAAGAUCCCAUGGUGUAUUUGGCUUCACUGGCAAUUAACAUGUUUUCUAUUACCUGUGUGGUGCUUCUGAGUUUGGCUAAAGCUCACCAUUGGUUCUGCCACUGAUCUUGAAAUUUUAUUUUUGCUAGGCUGGAGUGUGAUACAGAGAUUUACAUAUCUAAACGUUUUGCUGAGACCAUGCCACUGCUAUGAGUUCUUGUGAUAACUGCAGGCCAUCACGCCUGCCCUAAACCCCUUACUGGAAGGAAGCAUUGGUACCCCUGUGCAUGCUGCAGCAGUGUCCUCAGGACCAGGAGGAUAUUAAAACCAUCUAAGUGGGUUGGGAGGCAUGUCUUUUUUAAACUUUGUACCUGAUGUUGUAGGUUAUACAACAGACAGCCUACGAGAAGGUUGUCUUUUGAUAAAUGAAGAGUGAAUACCAGUUAGAUGGGACUAAAAAAAGAUAGCAUUUGUUCAGCUUGUUUACCCUGAAAUGAACAGCUGGCCUGUGGUUUGGGAAAAGAAGAGGGUCUUCCCCUCUUUGCUUUCCAGGAUUGUUGGAUGCUGAAUAAACUUCCAAGAUCUGGAGGUAAAAGUAAUGGAGUCACCGUAACAGAGGAAAGCUUUCCACCUACUCUGGGUUUGUAGCCUGCUUGGGCUAAGACAACCUCAUCUCCAAGUUUUCAUGCAUUUUUCCUAUAUCUUCCUUAUCAGCCCAGAGGGUUUUUCCUGGCAGAUUUUAAGGACUUUCCAGAGUUUUCCUGGGAAUACACAGCAGACCCAUUGAGGCCACCAUGCGAGAGUCACAGGCAGGAAGGCCACUGCCUGCCACGUGGCUGCCUACACACCCCGCAGGCCAGGACAGGGAUGAAACAGCUCAGAAGAACCUCAUACCUACUGUGUGUCCUACCAUCUGUGUGAGUGUGCUGAAGGAAGAAGACAAAUACCUCUG
RNAcentral lists this long non-coding RNA (1017 nucleotides) under Falco tinnunculus (common kestrel). Its description in RNAcentral is "lncRNA (ENSFTIG00000011695.1)". The record is from RNAcentral. Lineage: Eukaryota; Metazoa; Chordata; Aves; Falconiformes; Falconidae.